CCUCGGCAGUAAUGGUCCACGUGCAGUUGGCGUAAUUGGGGUAACCAUAUGGGAACCCAGGGCUCUCCACCGUCCCAUUGGGGCCUUGUAGUUGAAACGUGCAGUUCUGGCCUCUGGAAACCUGAGUCAACUCUACCACACUGGCUCAUCUCAGAAAGGGCCAUCAAUCAAAUGCCUUCACAUGUGCUGAUGAUACACUUGUAUUUCCAGUGGUCAAAAUUUAAGAGUCUCUGCUUUCUCCCUUUAAAGUUACAACCGUCACACUUGCUUACUUUCCAAUCAAUACAUAGAUGUAGCUACUUAAUAAUGGGGCUUACUCUAUUUUCUAUUUGGAAACCUAGAAGCCGGACACAAUUUCUUUUGGGAAGUUUCUAGAUUAUAAUUGCACUUAAUUGAGUAUAAACGAGACAGUAGCUGAGGGGAAAAGCUAUUUGAGCAGCAAUCUGAGCUCUUAUUUGCUGCUCUAGACCACACAGGAGAGUCUCAGAUAAAUUUCUACAAGUUAUUUGGUGUGCUCAGUAAUUUAACUACACCAUACAUUAUUUUCAGUAUCAUGAAAGUUUCUUAUCAGGUUGAUAUUUUUCAAGGAUAGAGUUAUCCAUCCCCUUGAAGAUCAAUUCAGUUUGAAAUUUUCCAACGAUUCCAAAACAAACAGGUAGA
Perognathus longimembris pacificus (Pacific pocket mouse) is the source of this 660-nucleotide long non-coding RNA. RefSeq lists it as uncharacterized. NCBI's taxonomy places the organism in Eukaryota, Metazoa, Chordata, Mammalia, Rodentia, Heteromyidae. The transcript has 3 exons. The record is from RefSeq and is a predicted model, not a curated record.